CCCUUAGAUGUUCUGGGCUGCAUGCGCGCUACACUGAAGCUAUCAACACGUUUUCCCUCCCUGAGAAGGGCGGGUAACCUUUUGAAUCAGCUUCGUGGUAGGGAUCGGGGCUUGCAAUUGUUCCCCGUGAACCAGGAAUUCCUAGUAGACGCGAGUCAUAAGCUCGCAUCGAUUAAGUCCCUGCCCUUUGUACACACCGCCCGUCGCUACUACCGAUUGAACGUUUUAGUGAGGCAUUUGGACCGACGCAUCACAGUUUAACCGCUGGUUUGUGUUGGAAAGACUUCCAAACUUGAGCGUUUAGAGGAAGUAAAAGUCGUAACA
This 324-nucleotide ribosomal RNA is filed under the name uncultured eukaryote. RNAcentral's name for it is "partial 18S ribosomal RNA". It matches the Rfam family "Eukaryotic small subunit ribosomal RNA", at positions 1470 to 1796 of the family's 1831-position model. The record is from RNAcentral.